Molecule: ribosomal RNA, 254 nt
Filed under: uncultured bacterium
Lineage: Bacteria
Description: partial 16S ribosomal RNA
Rfam family: Bacterial small subunit ribosomal RNA
Source: RNAcentral
GACGAACCGUGCGAACGUUAUUCGGAAUCACUGGGCUUAAAGCCCGUGUAGGCGGGUCUCCGCGUCGGCUGCUGAAAUCCCCCGGCUCAACCGGGGAACGGGCACCGAUACGGGCGGCCUCGAGGGGGGUAGGGGGACCUGGAACUUCCGGUGGAGCGGUGAAAUGCGUUGAGAUCGGAAGGAACGCCCGUGGCGAAAGCGAGGUCCUGGACCCUUUCUGACGCUGAGACGCGAAAGCCAGGGGAGCGAACGGG